This 3278-nucleotide long non-coding RNA is filed under the name Cricetulus griseus (Chinese hamster). RNAcentral describes it as "lncRNA (ENSCGRG00015037514.1)". The record is from RNAcentral. Lineage: Eukaryota; Metazoa; Chordata; Mammalia; Rodentia; Cricetidae.
CUUCAUCUGUGCUGUGCUGGCUAACAGAAGCUAGAGUUAUCUCAGAGGAGGGAAUCUCAACCAAGAGAAUGUCUUCAAAAGAUCAGGAUAUAGGCGAGCCUGUACGGCAUUUUCUUAACUAGUGAUUACAGUGGGAGGGCCCAGCCCAUUGUGGGUGGGGCCAUCUCUGGGCUGGUGGUGCUGGGAUGUAUAAGAAAGCAGGUCGAGCAAGCCAUGGGGAACAAGUCAGUAAGCAGUGAUCCUCCACAGACUGUGUCAGUUCCUGCUUCCAGGUUCCGGCUGUCGAGUUCUUGCCCUGACUUCCCUUCAUGAAGAACUGUGAAACUGAAGUGUAAGCAAAAUAAACUCUCUCUAACCCACGUUGCUUUUGGUCAUGGUGUUUCAUCACAACAAGACAAAGCCUAACUAAGACACUUGCAAAUUUAGAUUUCACAGAAUCCAGUUUUACUUUCCCACUGGCUUGUAACUUAAAACUUUAAAAUGUAUUUUUAAAAUAGUUCAAAGGGAAAAUGAAUUCACAGCUGUGUUGAGAACAAACAACAUUUUUAAUCCACCUGAGAAGAAAAUGGUCCCUAAUCCCAGAGUACCUGAAACUCCAACAAGAAAAGCCCUAACUGCAGAAAAAGCCUGUGCUCUGGGGGGGGACUCUGAAGUAACAACCAAUGAACACAUCAGGUCUAGGCACACAUCACAGGUUCAAAUCCCAAGCAGGAACAACUGCGUCUCUUCAUGGUCACAGAGUCUCGACUUAGCUGUGGCCUGGAUUUCCAGCUUUGGCUAUCGACUACAUGGGUAGGAAAGAGGUCUCCACCACCUGAAGAAAAACUCACCUGUUAUUGCCAGUAUUUUUGUCAGGCAUUGUGUCUCACACCUGAAAUCCUAGAACUCAGUCAGGGGGAUUGCUGUAAAUUGAGGCUGGCUGGACUUCAUAGUGAAUUACAGUUACCUCAGGCUAUGAGUGAAACUGUCUAAAGAAAACCCCCCAAAUCCAACACAAAACUCCCAAUCCAAAAAUGGGCAAUAUUUUCCUGCUUUAAACAGAGAUGAAUUAACUGGCCAGAAACAAGUUAAAAUGGAAAAGAGCUAAAAGCAAGCAUUUCUCCUGAGGGCUUGGUAAAUUUUACACACUGGUUGGCUUUCGUUUUAAUUCAGUAAUCAUAAUUUUUUUCUUUCUUUUUUUUUUUGAGACAGGGUCUCUAUGUAGCACUGGCUGUCCUGGAACAGACUAGCUUUGAGUCCACAAAGCUUCACCUGCCUUUGCAUCCUGAAUGCUGGGAUUAAGGAUCUGUGCCCCCUACCACUAUCAGUAAUCUUACUUUUAUUUGGUAAUUCUUGUGAAGCCUAUGGUUAGGCAGUUUUUAACAUUUUAAUUUUUCAGUUUUUUUUUUUUUCUCAAUAGCUUGGUAAUCUCUUCAUGAAAAAUUUAAUACAACCCAAAGACUAAAUGAAGAAAAAAUCCCCUAAUCAUAUUGUAUUCCCAGGCAGAUAAAAAGUUUUAUUUUUUGGGCUGGAGAGAUGGCUCAGAGGUUAAGAGCAUUGGCUGCUCUUUCAGAGGUCCUGAGUUCAAUUCCCAGCAACCGCAUGGUGGCUCGCAACCAUCCAUUAUGAGAUCUGGUGCCCUCUUCUGGUGUGCAGAUAUACAUGGAAGCAGAAUGUUGUAUACAUAAAAAAUAAACAAAAUCUUUAAAAAAAAGUUUUAUUUUUCAAUAGGGCUUACUUUUACCUUGGUAUUUAGAGAAUUUAAAUAUUACUCAACGCCUGAGUUUUAUUUGCACUGUUGUUAGCCAAACAUUUCCCCCAUCAUUAACCACAGGAGUAGGAAGUGAGUAUAAAUCCAGUAUUUAGCAUCUGUCUUAGCCUGAAGGUCAGUGAAAGCCAAGGUUCUCACGGACAAAGUGGUUUUUGGAAGGACCAAAGUGAAGAUGACACAGAAUCGGUGGUCCACCUCGAGAACCUUGAUGUUCCUGUUUUAAGAUGAAAAGUACAUUUAUUUCCAGAAUUAUGACUACUAGCACAAAAGGGUUUCUCUCUCUCUCUCUCUUUUUAAAUACGAAUGUUUAAAAGAAAUAAAAACCGCAUGGGGAGUCAGCAAUGGCAAAGGGCUAUCGAGCCCUGAGUUGGUUCCCCCCCCCCCAGCUCUGCAGAAACAGACCAGCAAACAAGAAACCUCAACAAAAAUAAACACAAACCUAAACAAUUGCAUGAAAAUAUGUGGAAUCUUGUUCUUGAAAAUACAAGUGACGGAGACUCAUGCUCAAUCUUGUAUACUAUGAAUUCCAAAAAAAUUUGGCUAUUUUGGGGGUGUUAUUCUUUAGCGAGGUUUUAAGUGCAAGUCCCAUUUCCAAAUAACACGUGAUCCUGUCCUCAUCUCUAACUUUAUACAUAAGUGGCAUAACUUAUCGGGUUUUAAAAUUCCAUCAAGGCACCAAGAGCGUUUUAUCUACGUCACAGGGGCCUGGGCUUGAGAUUAAGAAUGAGGUGUUAUGAUCACGAUGCAUUGUAAGACAUGGACGAAGCUGCCAAGGAAUAGAAAUAUUCUUAAAAAAAGGAAAACUAUAGAACUCCGUUUGCCUUUUCUCGGAGACCGACGGGGGCUUUGGGUCUGCAUGGACUUGGUGCUCAGGAGCUCUGCGUGCCCCCGGCUCCAGCACCGGCGCGCCCAGAGGAAGCCCAGAUGAAGAGCGCAGGUAAGCAAACACGCUCCUUUAAACUUGGUUUUGGAGACAGGGUCUCUUGCCGCCCGGGCUGAUGAUUUCCAACCGGACGCAGACGACCUUGGGCUUCUGAUCCUCCGGCCUCCACUUCUUCCGGAAUACGGGGAUUAAGGCCCGCGCUGCACACAGGGGUCGGGCCCGGGGCUGCGUGCCUGCCGGCUGGCACUGUACCAGGCGAGCCGCGCGGGAGCGCUGGGACAGACGUCUCUUUCAGAGCGCUUGCUCCCAGCAGAGCCUACGUACCGCCGCCGCCGCCGCCGCCGCCGGGGUUCAGCGGGAUCCUGGCGGCCUCCUCAGGCAGCCCCGGGGCAGCGCACGUCCGCCCGUCUCCGGAGGGCGGCGCCACGCCGCCGGGCUUGCGGCUCUCGGAGAGUCGUCUCCUCAGCCGGGCUCUGACGCGCGGCCGUCGAGUCACGGCCUUGUCCCGGGAGCGACGCCAUCUUGUCGCCCCCGUCCUCCUCAGCGGCUCGCGGUGCCAGGCUCCCGGCUUCUUCGCCCCGCGGCUCCCACCACGCGGUGGAGGAGGAGCGCGGGCCGCCGGCCACGCCUCCCGAGCUCGCAGCC